RNAcentral lists this transfer RNA (75 nucleotides) under Candidatus Acetothermia bacterium. RNAcentral describes it as "tRNA-Lys". It matches the Rfam family "tRNA". From Rfam's summary of the family: Transfer RNA (tRNA) molecules are approximately 80 nucleotides in length. Their secondary structure includes four short double-helical elements and three loops (D, anti-codon, and T loops). Lineage: Bacteria; Candidatus Bipolaricaulota. The record is from RNAcentral.
GGGCUCGUAGCUCAACGGCAGAGCAGGCGGCUCUUAACCGUCAGGUUGGGGGUUCAAGUCCCUCCGGGCCCACCA